Molecule: unclassified non-coding RNA, 336 nt
Filed under: soil metagenome
Description: partial contains 5.8S ribosomal RNA, internal transcribed spacer 2, and large subunit ribosomal RNA
Rfam family: 5.8S ribosomal RNA (bases 1-120)
Source: RNAcentral
GAUGAAGAACGCAGUGAAAUGCGAUAAGUAAUGUGAAUUGCAGAAUUCAGUGAAUCAUCGAAUCUUUGAACGCACAUUGCGCCCGCCAGUAUUCUGGCGGGCAUGCCUGUUCGAGCGUCAUUUCAACCAUCAAGCCCCAGGCUUGUGUUGGGGACCUGCGGCUGCCGCAGGCCCUAAAAACCAGUGGCGGGCUCGCUGUCACACCGGGCGUAGUAGAUUUUAUCUCGCUCAGGGCGUGCUGCGGGUUCCGGCCGUUAAAAAGCCUUUUUUACCCAAGGUUGACCUCGGAUCAGGUAGGAAGACCCGCUGAACUUAAGCAUAUCAAUAAGCGGAGGA